This 489-nucleotide ribosomal RNA is filed under the name uncultured bacterium. RNAcentral describes it as "partial 16S ribosomal RNA". It matches the Rfam family "Bacterial small subunit ribosomal RNA", at positions 30 to 507 of the family's 1533-position model. The record is from RNAcentral.
UUGAACGCUGGCGGCAGGCCUAACACAUGCAAGUCGAACGGUAACAGGAAGCAGCUUGCUGCUUCGCUGACGAGUGGCGGACGGGUGAGUAAUGUCUGGGAAGCUGCCUGAUGGAGGGGGAUAACUACUGGAAACGGUAGCUAAUACCGCAUAAUGUCGCAAGACCAAAGAGGGGGACCUUCGGGCCUCUUGCCAUCGGAUGUGACCAGAUGGGAUUAGCUUGUUGGUGGGGUAACGGCUCACCAAGGCGACGAUCCCUAGCUGGUCUGAGAGGAUGACCAUCCACACUGGAACUGAGACACGGUCCAGACUCCUACGGGAGGCAGCAGUGGGGAAUAUUGCACAAUGGGCGCAAGCCUGAUGCAGCCAUGCCGCGUGUAUGAAGAAGGCCUUCGGGUUGUAAAGUACUUUCAGCGGGGAGGAAGGGAGUAAAGUUAAUACCUUUGCUCAUUGACGUUACCCGCAGAAGAAGCACCGGCUAACUCCGUG